AUAAGAUAUUAAGAAAAAAUAAAUUCUGUUAGUUUUCAAAACUAAAAGUGCUAAU
This 55-nucleotide transfer RNA is filed under the name Cyrtophora moluccensis. RNAcentral describes it as "tRNA-Trp". Lineage: Eukaryota; Metazoa; Arthropoda; Arachnida; Araneae; Araneidae. The record is from RNAcentral.